This 857-nucleotide ribosomal RNA is filed under the name uncultured bacterium. RNAcentral's name for it is "bacterial SSU rRNA". It matches the Rfam family "Bacterial small subunit ribosomal RNA", at positions 28 to 896 of the family's 1533-position model. The record is from RNAcentral.
GAUGAACGCUGGCGGCGUGCUUAACACAUGCAAGUCGAACGAUGAUCCCAGCUUGCUGGGGGAUUAGUGGCGAACGGGUGAGUAACACGUGAGUAACCUGCCCUUAACUCUGGGAUAAGCCUGGGAAACUGGGUCUAAUACCGGAUAUGACUCCUCAUCGCAUGGUGGGGGGUGGAAAGCUUUAUUGUGGUUUUGGAUGGACUCGCGGCCUAUCAGCUUGUUGGUGAGGUAAUGGCUCACCAAGGCGACGACGGGUAGCCGGCCUGAGAGGGUGACCGGCCACACUGGGACUGAGACACGGCCCAGACUCCUACGGGAGGCAGCAGUGGGGAAUAUUGCACAAUGGGCGAAAGCCUGAUGCAGCGACGCCGCGUGAGGGAUGACGGCCUUCGGGUUGUAAACCUCUUUCAGUAGGGAAGAAGCGAAAGUGACGGUACCUGCAGAAGAAGCGCCGGUUAACUACGUGCCAGUAGCUGUGGUAAUACGUAGGGCGCAAGCGUUAUCCGGAAUUAUUGGGCGUAAAGAGCUCGUAGGCGGUUUGUCGUGUCUGCCGUGAAAGUCCGGGGCUUAACUCCGGAUCUGCGGUGGGUACGGGCAGACUAGAGUGAUGUAGGGGAGACUGGAAUUCCUGGUGUAGUGGUGAAAUGUGUAGAUAUCAGGAGGAACACCGAUGGUGAAGGCGGGUCUCUGGGCAUUAACUGACGCUGAGGAGCGAAAGCAUGGGGAGUGAAUAGGAUUAGAUAUCCUGGUAGUCCAUGCCGUAAACGUUGGGCACUAGGUGUGGGGGACAUUUUACGUUUUCCGCGCCGUAGCUAAUGCAUUAAGUGCCCCGCCUGGGGAGUAUGGCCGUAAGGCUA